GAGGUCCCAAGCGUUGUUCGGAUUUACGUGGGCGUAAAGGGUGCGUAGGCGGUCGGGUAAGUCUGGUGUGAAAUCUUCGAGCUUAACUCGGAAACUGCAUUGGAUACUAUUCGGCUAGAGAGUUGGAGGGGGGAUUGGAAUACUUGGUGUAGCAGUGAAAUGCGUAGAUAUCAAGUGGAACACCAGUGGCGAAGGCGAAUCCCUGGACAACUUCUGACGCUGAGGCACGAAAGCUAGGGGAGCAAACAGGAUUAGAUACCCUGGUAGUCCUAGCUGUAAACGGUGCAUAUUUGCUGUAAAAGGAAUCGACCCCUUUUGUGGCGUAGCAAACGCGUUAAAUAUGCCGCCUGGGAAGUACGGUCGCAAGAUUA
Molecule: ribosomal RNA, 371 nt
Filed under: uncultured organism
Description: bacterial SSU rRNA
Rfam family: Bacterial small subunit ribosomal RNA
Source: RNAcentral